Molecule: microRNA precursor, 97 nt
Filed under: Nicotiana sylvestris (wood tobacco)
Lineage: Eukaryota; Viridiplantae; Streptophyta; Magnoliopsida; Solanales; Solanaceae
Description: MIR6152 microRNA precursor family
Rfam family: MIR6152 microRNA precursor family
Source: Rfam by way of RNAcentral
UGGACAGAUUAUUGUAUUCGACUGUAUUCACGACGUGAAAUAGGGGAUUACACUAUUUUUAAAACGGAAAGUUAAUCAAUUAACAUAAUAGACUCCU